Molecule: unclassified non-coding RNA, 418 nt
Filed under: soil metagenome
Description: partial contains 5.8S ribosomal RNA, internal transcribed spacer 2, and large subunit ribosomal RNA
Rfam family: 5.8S ribosomal RNA (bases 1-120)
Source: RNAcentral
GAUGAAGAACGCAGCUAAAUGCGAUAAGUAAUGUGAAUUGCAGAAUUCAGUGAAUCAUCGAAUCUUUGAACGCAUCUUGCGCUCCUUGGUAUUCCUUGGAGCAUGCCUGUUUGAGUAUCAUGAGCAAAUCUCAAAGUCAAUUCCUUUUGUUGAUUCAAUUGGUUUUGCUUUGGACUUGGAGGCCUUGCAGAUUUCACAGUCUGCUCCUCUUAAAUGCAUUAGCUGGAUCUCAGUAAUUAUGCUUGGUUCCACUCGGCGUGAUAAGUAUCACUCGCUGAGGACACUGUUAAAAAGGUGGCCAGGAAAAUACUGAUUGAACCGCUUCUAACGGUCUAUUAAGUUAGACAAUUACCCUUAAGUUUGAUCUCAAAUCAGGUAGGACUACCCGCUGAACUUAAGCAUAUCAAUAAGCGGAGGA